Molecule: ribosomal RNA, 253 nt
Filed under: uncultured bacterium
Lineage: Bacteria
Description: partial 16S ribosomal RNA
Rfam family: Bacterial small subunit ribosomal RNA
Source: RNAcentral
UACGUAGGGUGCAAGCGUUAAUCGGAAUUACUGGGCGUAAAGCGUGCGCAGGCGGUUUUGUAAGUCUGUCGUGAAAGCCCCGGGCUCAACCUGGGAAUUGCGAUGGAGACUGCAAGGCUUGAAUCUGGCAGAGGGGGGUAGAAUUCCAGGUGUAGCGGUGAAAUGCGUAGAUAUCUGGAGGAACACCGGUGGCGAAGGCGGCAUCCUGGACCGGUAUUGACGCUGAGGCGCGAAAGCCAGGGGAGCAAACGGG